Pelobates cultripes (western spadefoot toad) is the source of this 228-nucleotide non-coding RNA. NCBI's taxonomy places the organism in Eukaryota, Metazoa, Chordata, Amphibia, Anura, Pelobatidae. The record is from the annotation of a GenBank genome assembly.
CCCAGAAUGGCAGUCAGAUUUAUCUUUGGAUCAAGCAGUUAUUACCCUACAUUGAAAGAUUAUAUCCUUGAAUAUUCUGUUCUUGCAAGUAUGCAUCUAGUAGCCGUUUGAACAUCUGUAUGGACUCUGAUAAAACCACUUCCUCAGGCAGAGAAUUCCACAUCCUGAUUGUUCUUACAGUAAAAAAACCUUUCCUUUGCCUUAGACGAAAUCUUCUUUCUUCCAGUC